Hevea brasiliensis (rubber tree) is the source of this 104-nucleotide small nucleolar RNA. Lineage: Eukaryota; Viridiplantae; Streptophyta; Magnoliopsida; Malpighiales; Euphorbiaceae. The record is from RefSeq and is a predicted model, not a curated record.
AUCCCAUAAUGAGUAUAUCUCCUUUGAAGACCCUUGUAUCUCUCCCAUGUUUCAUAAAGACUUUCAUCAUCCUUUGGUAUAAAAGAAGUCAAUUCAUUCUUACU